UGUUGGUCAGGCUGGUCUCAAACUCCUGACCUUGUGAUCUGCCCACCUUGGCCUCCGAAGUGCUGGGAUUACAGGUGUGAGCCACUGCGCCUGGCCAACACACGUGUUUAAAUAGAAGACUGUAUAUUUCUUCUGACAUCUUGCUGGGAAAUUUUACCUCAGAGUGAAAAGAAUGUUGUUCAGUUGUCAGCUCUAAAUUAAGUUGUGUUCUCAGGCAAGUUGACAAAUUGCCUAAUCUUUUCUUAUGCCUGAUUUUUAACUGUUAAAAUGGUGAUUGGAGGUGGUUAGGGAUGACAAGACAUUGGGGAGGAGGCUCACAUCUAUUAAAUGCCAAUUAUGUGCCAAGUGAACAAUACUUUAUUUCCUCAGGCUUCAAGUACAAAUUACUGAAACUAAACUAAUGGUUACCUGUCUUGUGUGACUGUUUUUGCCAAGUGUAGAUUCUUGUAACUGUCUUUGAAGUAGGUGAAAAAUCAAAUAAGGUAUUGUCUCCAAAGCCCUAGAACAUCAGCCUAUGCCUCUAUGACAGACUUUUCACACAUCAUUGUCAUUAUUCGUUGACAUCAUUGAUUCCCAGCCCCCAACAGGAAGGAAUCCUGACUUAUUCAUCACCGUGCACAAGAGUAGCUCAAUGAAUAAUGGAAUUUGUGGUACUCCUGUUAUAAGUAUAAUAAUUUAGAUGGAAGAAAAUAAGUGAUAAGUAUAAAGUGAUCUCCGAAUGUAAUCUCUUUAAUGUCAGCUAUGACUAAAACUAAGAGCCUUAUGUUCACAGAUUGCUACUUAGUGAUGCCAUUUUUUUAUUAGAAGAAAUCGACUGGUACAUGUAUAUUUCAUUGUGAGGACCCCAAAUCUACUUGUUGGCUUAAGCAAGUUGAAAUUUAUUUAAGGAAUCUAAUUUCAGCAAGAACUCUAGGACUUAUAAGAAUUAUUGGCCAG
RNAcentral lists this long non-coding RNA (936 nucleotides) under Homo sapiens (human). RNAcentral describes it as "HSALNT0108987". Lineage: Eukaryota; Metazoa; Chordata; Mammalia; Primates; Hominidae. The record is from RNAcentral.